UACGUAGGGGGCAAGCGUUGUCCGGAUUUAUUGGGCGUAAAGAGCGUGUAGGCGGCCAGGUAGGUCAGCUGUGAAAACUCGAGGCUCAACCUCGAGACGUCGGUUGAAACCACCUGGCUAGAGUCCGGAAGAGGAGAGUGGAAUUCCUGGUGUAGCGGUGAAAUGCGCAGAUAUCAGGAAGAACACCCGUGGCGAAGGAGGCUCUCUGGGACGGUACUGACGCUGAGACGCGAAAGCGUGGGGAGCGAACAGG
RNAcentral lists this ribosomal RNA (253 nucleotides) under uncultured bacterium. RNAcentral describes it as "partial 16S ribosomal RNA". It matches the Rfam family "Bacterial small subunit ribosomal RNA", at positions 524 to 776 of the family's 1533-position model. The record is from RNAcentral.